CAGGUGGUGCAUGGUUGUCGUCAGCUCGUGUCGUGAGAUGUUGGGUUAAGUCCCGCAACGAGCGCAACCCUUAAGCUUAGUUGCCAUCAUUAAGUUGGGCACUCUAAGUUGACUGCCGGUGACAAACCGGAGGAAGGUGGGGAUGACGUCAAAUCAUCAUGCCCCUUAUGAUUUGGGCUACACACGUGCUACAAUGGACAAUACAAAGGGCAGCGAAACCGCGAGGUCAAGCAAAUCCCAUAAAGUUGUUCUCAGUUCGGAUUGUAGUCUGCAACUCGACUACAUGAAGCUGGAAUCGCUAGUAAUCGUAGAUCAGCAUGCUACGGUGAAUACGUUCCCGGGUCUUGUACACACCGCCCGUCACACCACGAGAGUUUGUAACACCCGAAGCCG
Molecule: ribosomal RNA, 393 nt
Filed under: Staphylococcus aureus
Lineage: Bacteria; Bacillati; Bacillota; Bacilli; Caryophanales; Staphylococcaceae
Description: bacterial SSU rRNA
Rfam family: Bacterial small subunit ribosomal RNA
Source: RNAcentral